UCUUGAAUGAACGUGGAUAAUGGAAAGAGACCAGUUAAUCCAGCCUCCAUUUACUUUUCCAAAACCAAUAGUCAGCGCAGACGAUGUAGAGAUUUGAAAAUAAAUCCACUAAAUUCUUUUAAAUGAAGCUUGUAGCUUUUAUUUAAGCCUGAGAAUGUAAUGUGAGAUGUAAUCAUUUCCUACUUCAAGCCAUCGGACAGUCAGCAUGGAGGAGAGUGAAAGAAGAUACAGCUUUUUCUUCAGUAGAUCGUGAAUCAUAAACGGCGUAUAAAAAUCUUUAACAAACAAAACACCCGAAACAACUGAACGUCAGGCUAUUCAUUCUUCAAUAAAUACCAGUAUGUCAGACUGUGGUCAUAUUCAUGGUUAUAUUCAUGUCAUCUAUCUUCAGGCAAGAUUUUAGACGCUGAGGAGGGUAUGUCUGUAUCAUCAGCAGCUUCCCCAGCACCAGGUCCACCCACAUAUCUAUACCGCUCUAUCUCUGCCUUGUAUGCUGCCAAGAGUAGGAUAUCCCUUCCCAGCCUCCCCUUAAACAUUUCGUUUGUUUAACCUGAGUAACAUCUCUUGCCUGCCGUUGCAGGCGCUUUGCAGUCGAUAUGUGGAGCAUACUGAUAAAACCAAUCAGUGAGAAGUGAGAAGUGAGGGGGAAAUGCUUAUAAACAGUGUGUGCAGAUGCUGUAUGCCAGUGUUGAGAACUCAUUUCCAUGGAUCUGAACAGAGCUGAUCUUGACAGAACAUCACUACAGGGCACAGAUGACCACUGCGUAUCCAUCUUGUCUAAAUGAAAUGUGAACAGUGUCAUAUGAGAUGGACCUCACCCUGGAUUGGCUUAUUCAGAUCACAUAGAAGGUCCAAGCAGAUACAUUUCUUAAGCUGUAUCACAACCCGUUUGAAUUCUUCA
This is a long non-coding RNA of Sinocyclocheilus grahami, 901 nucleotides long. RefSeq lists it as uncharacterized. The transcript has 3 exons. NCBI's taxonomy places the organism in Eukaryota, Metazoa, Chordata, Actinopteri, Cypriniformes, Cyprinidae. The record is from RefSeq and is a predicted model, not a curated record.